This 974-nucleotide ribosomal RNA is filed under the name Staphylococcus aureus. RNAcentral's name for it is "partial 23S ribosomal RNA". It matches the Rfam family "Bacterial large subunit ribosomal RNA", at positions 41 to 1011 of the family's 2925-position model. The record is from RNAcentral. Lineage: Bacteria; Bacillati; Bacillota; Bacilli; Caryophanales; Staphylococcaceae.
AGAAGCCGAUGAAGGACGUUGCUAACGACGAUAUGCUUUGGGGAGCUGUAAGUAAGCUUUGAUCCAGAGAUUUCCGAAUGGGGAAACCCAACAUGAGUUAUGUCAUGUUAUCGAUAUGUGAAUACAUAGCAUAUCAGAAGGCACACCCGGAGAACUGAAACAUCUUAGUACCCGGAGGAAGAGAAAGAAAAAUCGAUUCCCUUAGUAGCGGCGAGCGAAACGGGAAGAGCCCAAACCAACAAGCUUGCUUGUUGGGGUUGUAGGACACUCUAUACGGAGUUACAAAGGACGACAUUAGACGAAUCAUCUGGAAAGAUGAAUCAAAGAAGGUAAUAAUCCUGUAGUCGAAAAUGUUGUCUCUCUUGAGUGGAUCCUGAGUACGACGGAGCACGUGAAAUUCCGUCGGAAUCUGGGAGGACCAUCUCCUAAGGCUAAAUACUCUCUAGUGACCGAUAGUGAACCAGUACCGUGAGGGAAAGGUGAAAAGCACCCCGGAAGGGGAGUGAAAUAGAACCUGAAACCGUGUGCUUACAAGUAGUCAGAGCCCGUUAAUGGGUGAUGGCGUGCCUUUUGUAGAAUGAACCGGCGAGUUACGAUUUGAUGCAAGGUUAAGCAGUAAAUGUGGAGCCGUAGCGAAAGCGAGUCUGAAUAGGGCGUUUAGUAUUUGGUCGUAGACCCGAAACCAGGUGAUCUACCCUUGGUCAGGUUGAAGUUCAGGUAACACUGAAUGGAGGACCGAACCGACUUACGUUGAAAAGUGAGCGGAUGAACUGAGGGUAGCGGAGAAAUUCCAAUCGAACCUGGAGAUAGCUGGUUCUCUCCGAAAUAGCUUUAGGGCUAGCCUCAAGUGAUGAUUAUUGGAGGUAGAGCACUGUUUGGACGAGGGGCCCCUCUCGGGUUACCGAAUUCAGACAAACUCCGAAUGCCAAUUAAUUUAACUUGGGAGUCAGAACAUGGGUGAUAAGGUCCGUGUU